AAUGAACGCUGGCGGCGUGCUUAACACAUGCAAGUCGUGCGCGAAGGUGGCUUCGGCCACCGGAGAGCGGCGGACGGGUGAGUAACACGUGGGUAAUCUGCCUAGGAGUGGGGAAUAACCUGGGGAAACUCGGGCUAAUACCGCAUACGUCGUCGGGACUGCGGUCCCGGCAAGAAAGCUGGCCUCUGCUUGCAUGCUAGCGCUCCUAGAGGAGCCCGNGGCUGAUAGCUAGUUGGUGAGGUAAUGGCUCACCAAGGCGACGAUCAGUAGCCGGCCUGAGAGGGUGAACGGCCACACUGGGACUGAGACACGGCCCAGACUCCUACGGGAGGCAGCAGUGGGGAAUAUUGGACAAUGGGCGAAAGCCUGAUCCAGCAACGCCGCGUGGAGGACGAAGGUCUUCGGAUCGUAAACUCCUGUCAGAUGGGACGAACGGACGUCGGUAAA
Molecule: ribosomal RNA, 447 nt
Filed under: uncultured bacterium
Lineage: Bacteria
Description: bacterial SSU rRNA
Rfam family: Bacterial small subunit ribosomal RNA
Source: RNAcentral